UGCCGCCACCGGGACGCUGUACGCGACGCCGGUGAGUGCGAAGCCGCUGCGGCCCCACAGGAAGGUCCAGUCACCGAAGCCGAUCAGCCGGUCGGGGCUCAGCGGCGAGUCGAACCCGAAAUACCCCGGGUAGCUGUAGCCGCUGAACAUGAUCGGGAAG
RNAcentral lists this unclassified non-coding RNA (160 nucleotides) under fungal sp. RNAcentral describes it as "partial internal transcribed spacer region". Lineage: Eukaryota; Fungi. The record is from RNAcentral.